AAGUCGUAACAAGGUUUCCGUAGGUGAACCUGCGGAAGGAUCAUUAUUGAAAUAAACCUGAUGGGUUGUUGCUGGUUCUCUAGGGAGCAUGUGCACGCCUUGUCAUCUUUAUAUCUCCACCUGUGCACCUUUUGUAGACCUUUCCAGGUCUAUGUUACUUCAUUUACCCAAUGUAUGUUAAUAGAAUGUUGUGUCUAUAAAAUAUAUACAACUUUCAGCAACGGAUCUCUUGGCUCUC
Molecule: unclassified non-coding RNA, 238 nt
Filed under: Cortinarius sp.
Lineage: Eukaryota; Fungi; Basidiomycota; Agaricomycetes; Agaricales; Cortinariaceae
Description: partial internal transcribed spacer region
Rfam family: Eukaryotic small subunit ribosomal RNA (bases 1-46)
Source: RNAcentral